Molecule: ribosomal RNA, 466 nt
Filed under: uncultured bacterium
Lineage: Bacteria
Description: partial 16S ribosomal RNA
Rfam family: Bacterial small subunit ribosomal RNA
Source: RNAcentral
GAUGAACGCUGGCGGCGUGCUUAACACAUGCAAGUCGAACGAUGAAGCCCAGCUUGCUGGGUGGAUUAGUGGCGAACGGGUGAGUAACACGUGAGUAACCUGCCCUUAACUCUGGGAUAAGCCUGGGAAACUGGGUCUAAUACCGGAUAGGAGCGUCCACCGCAUGGUGGGUGUUGGAAAGAUUUAUCGGUUUUGGAUGGACUCGCGGCCUAUCAGCUUGUUGGUGAGGUAAUGGCUCACCAAGGCGACGACGGGUAGCCGGCCUGAGUGGGUGACCGGCCGCACUGGGACUGAGACACGGCCCAGACUCCUACGGGAGGCAGCAGUGGGGAAUAUUGCACAAUGGGCGCAAGCCUGAUGCAGCGACGCCGCGUGAGGGAUGACGGCCUUCGGGUUGUAAACCUCUUUCAGUAGGGAAGAAGCGAAAGUGACGGUACCUGCAGAAGAAGCACCGGCUAACUACGUG